This 209-nucleotide ribosomal RNA is filed under the name Escherichia coli. RNAcentral's name for it is "partial 16S ribosomal RNA". It matches the Rfam family "Bacterial small subunit ribosomal RNA", at positions 1 to 216 of the family's 1533-position model. The record is from RNAcentral. Lineage: Bacteria; Pseudomonadati; Pseudomonadota; Gammaproteobacteria; Enterobacterales; Enterobacteriaceae.
AAAUUGAAGAGUUUGAUCAUGGCUCAGAUUGAACGCUGGCGGCAGGCCUAACACAUGCAAGUCGAACGGUAACAGAAAGCAGCUUGCUGCUUUGCUGACGAGUGGCGGACGGGUGAGUAACGUCUGGGAAACUGCCUGAUGGAGGGGGAUAACUACUGGAAACGGUAGCUAAUACCGCAUAACGUCGCAAGACCAAAGAGGGGGACCUU